AUUGAACGCUGGCGGCAGGCCUAACACAUGCAAGUCGAGCGAGCGGCGGACGGGUGAGUAAUGUAUGGGGACUGCCCGAUAGAGGGGGAUAACUACUGGAAACGGUGGCUAAUACCGCAUACUAUCGGAUAACCCAUAUGGGAUUAGCUAGUAGGUGGGGUAAAGGCUCACCUAGGCGACGAUCUCUAGCUGGUCUGAGCGGGUGAUCAGCCACACGGGGAAUGAGACACGGCCCAGACGCCUACGGAGGCAGCAGUGGGGAAUAUUGCACAAUGGGCGCAAGCCUGAUGCAGCCAUGCAGCGUGUAUGAAGAAGGCCUUAGGGUUGUAAAGUACUUUCAGCGGGGAGGCGUUACCGACAGAAGAAGCACCGGCUAACUCCGUGCCAGCAGCCGCGGUAAUUC
Molecule: ribosomal RNA, 403 nt
Filed under: uncultured bacterium
Lineage: Bacteria
Description: partial 16S ribosomal RNA
Rfam family: Bacterial small subunit ribosomal RNA
Source: RNAcentral